This 1162-nucleotide long non-coding RNA is filed under the name Brassica napus (rape). RNAcentral describes it as "long non-coding RNA (BNAP_LNC014362)". The record is from RNAcentral. Lineage: Eukaryota; Viridiplantae; Streptophyta; Magnoliopsida; Brassicales; Brassicaceae.
UUUAAUAUUUGGAUUUAGGGUUUAGUGAUUCUGGGUUUAGGGUUUAGUAAUUGGAAGGUGGGUGUUGAGGUUGAGGUCAACAUAACUUCUUACAUGCAAGCAUAUACAGUUCAUAAUUUCACCAGUAUGUACUAUACUAUUGAUUUUGUUCCAUUUUAUCUGAGUUUAGGGUUUAUAUUUGUAUUUAAAAUUUAUAUUUAGGUUUAUAAUUUAGUGAUUAGGGUUUAGGGUUUAGUAUUUGGAAAGUGGGGGUUGAGAUUGGGGCCAUCAUUAAUUUCUUACAUGCAAGUUUAGACAUUUCAUAAUUUCGUAAAUAGGUGCUAUACUAUUUAUUUUAUUUCAUUCUAUUUAGGUUUAGAGUUUAUAUUUGGAUUUAAGAUUUAUAUUUUGGUUUUGCUUUAGUGAAUAGGGUCUACGAUUUAGUAUUUAGGGUUAGGGUUUAAAUUUGAGUUUAGGGUUUACUGAUUUUGGGUUUAGGGUUUAGUAAUUGGAAGGUGGAGGUUGAGGUUGGGGUCAACAUAACUUAUUUCAUGCAAGCAUAUAUAUUUCAUAAUUUCACCAAUAUGUACUAUACCUUUGAUUUUGUUCUAUUCUAUCUGAGUUUAUGGUUUAUAUUUGUAUUUAAGAUUUAUAUUUGGGUUUAAGAUUUAGUGAUUAGGGUUUAGGGUUUAGUAUUUAGUAUUUGGAAGGUGGGAGUUGAAAUUGGGGCCAUCAUUAACUUCUUACGUACAAUCCUAAACAUUUCAUAAUUUCGUAAAUAUGUACUAUUUACUUUAUUUCAUUAUGUUUAGGUUUAGAGUUUAUAUUUAGAUUUAGGAUUUAUAUUUUGAUUUUGGCUUUAGUGUAUAACAUUUAGGAUUUAGUAUUUAGGGGUUGUGGAUGUGAUUGUGAUAUGCUUUAAUAUCUAGAGUAGAAAUGGAAUUGAUGUUUUAUAUUAUUUUGUUAAUAUGAAGUAAAUAGAAUACCAUUUAUUGCAGGAAUGUUUUAUUUUUGUCCACUUAUUUAUUGAACACAGUGAAAGUGAAACGUAUGCGGUUAUUUAAUACGUAACGUGGAAUGUGUAUCUUCCCUUUUAAGAUAAUAGUUCGUGGUAAAUAAUGGUCGUACAUGUUGUUGUCAAUAUCAUCUCACCAUCUCUUCUUUACCGGUUACUUGUAAGUCC